Molecule: ribosomal RNA, 423 nt
Filed under: uncultured bacterium
Lineage: Bacteria
Description: bacterial SSU rRNA
Rfam family: Bacterial small subunit ribosomal RNA
Source: RNAcentral
GAAUCUUCCGCAAUGGACGAAAGUCUGACGGAGCAACGCCGCGUGAGUGAAGAAGGCCUUCGGGUCGUAAAACUCUGUUGUUAGGGAAGAACAAGUGUCGGAGUAACUGCCGGCACCUUGACGGUACCUAACCAGAAAGCCACGGCUAACUACGUGCCAGCAGCCGCGGUAAUGCGUAGGUGGCAAGCGUUGUCCGGAAUUAUUGGGCGUAAAGCGCGCGCAGGCGGUUUCUUAAGUCUGAUGUGAAUGCCCCCGGCUCAACCGGGGAGGGUCAUUGGAAACUGGGAAACUUGAGUGCAGAAGAGAAGAGCGGAAUUCCACGUGUAGCGGUGAAAUGCGUAGAGAUGUGGAGGAACACCAGUGGCGAAGGCGGCUCUUUGGUCUGUAACUGACGCUGAGGCGCGAAAGCGUGGGGAGCAAACA